This 327-nucleotide long non-coding RNA is filed under the name Solanum lycopersicum (tomato). Its description in RNAcentral is "long non-coding RNA (SLYC_LNC001339)". The record is from RNAcentral. Lineage: Eukaryota; Viridiplantae; Streptophyta; Magnoliopsida; Solanales; Solanaceae.
AUGCAGAUCAGAUCAUGAACCUUUUUCUUAGGGUUUUUGCAUGUAGAAAUGCUACGGUGCAUGAGGAAGCCAUGCUUGCCAUUGGAGCCCUAGCCUAUGCAACUGGUCCCGACUUUGCCAAGUACAUGCCUGAAUUUUACAAGUACCUGGAAAUGGGCCUUCAGAAUUUCGAGGAGUACCAAGUGUGUGCUGUUACGGUUGGUGUUGUUGGUGAUGUAUGCAGAGCUUUGGAAGAUAAGAUCCUACCUUACUGUGAUGGUAUAAUGACCCAGCUUCUCAAGGACCUGUCAAGUAACCAGCUGCAUCGAUCUGUAAAGCCUCCAAUAU